RNAcentral lists this ribosomal RNA (253 nucleotides) under uncultured bacterium. Its description in RNAcentral is "partial 16S ribosomal RNA". It matches the Rfam family "Bacterial small subunit ribosomal RNA", at positions 524 to 776 of the family's 1533-position model. The record is from RNAcentral.
UACGUAGGGGGCAAGCGUUGUCCGGAUUUAUUGGGCGUAAAGAGCGUGUAGGCGGCUUGGUAGGUCCGCUGUGAAAACUCGAGGCUCAACCUCGAGAUGUCGGCGGAAACCACUUGGCUAGAGUCCGGAAGAGGAGAGUGGAAUUCCUGGUGUAGCGGUGAAAUGCGCAGAUAUCAGGAAGAACACCUAUGGCGAAGGCAGCUCUCUGGGACGGUACUGACGCUGAGACGGGAAAGCGUGGGGAGCGAACAGG